Long non-coding RNA from Herpailurus yagouaroundi (jaguarundi), 994 nucleotides. RefSeq lists it as uncharacterized. Lineage: Eukaryota; Metazoa; Chordata; Mammalia; Carnivora; Felidae. The transcript is spliced from 2 exons. The record is from RefSeq and is a predicted model, not a curated record.
CUGAUGCGGGGCUCGAACUCACAAACCGAGAGAUCAUGACCUGAGCUGAAGUCAGGUGCUUAACCGACUGAGCCACCCAGGCGCCCCAUCUCCUUCUCAGGUUCUAACACACAUAUGUUAACCCUUUAAUAUUGUCCAGCAGGUGCCUGAGAUGGCUUGCUCAUGUUCUUCAACAUUUUCCUGUUCUUCAGAUUGGAUAAUGACCCUUAGUCUGUCUUUAAAUUCACUCUUCUAUCAGCUUCAGUCUGCUGUGAAUCCCAUAUGUGUGCGCUUUCCGAGGCCAGAUCACUAAGAGCUCUGCAGCUUGCGCCUUCUUUCCUGCGGAUUCCCACUCCAGGGGACGCCAGCCCUGUGUUGGGAGGACACUGGAGCAGCUUGUGGAGAGGCCCCUGUGGGGUGGAACGGAGGCCGCCUGCCAAUAUCCAGAAACACCCGAGUCAGCCAUCUUGGUAGCCCACCUGCAGCCCCAAAGCUGGCUCACCCACCCUGAAUUCCCGACCAAAGAAACUGCACAUGAUAAUCAAUGUCUACUGUUGUUUUCAACCAUUAAGUUUUGGGGUAACGUGACACAUGACAAUCAAGAAUAGACAAGUUCCCGGGGCACGGAUCCCGGUGUCUCUGCCAUACGCCAGGGACAUUCGUGGGCUUGGACGAGGUGUCCACUCCAGCGGGCCCAGAGCUCCCACGACAGUUGUUCUGUGGCAAGCCUGGAGGCCUCACCAUCCGUGCAGCCCCGUCCUCAGCCAAGGACAGUGGGAACUCUGAGACUCCCCUCUCACCGGAUUCCGGCAGCACCACUGCGUCCUCAGCUCAGUAAUAUGGGGUGGCCUGGCUGGACGCCAUCUCUCUGUGCCAGGGUGGGAGACUGCCACAGUAGCAAGCUGGGGUGGGCAAGGUGGACCUCAGGAAUUUCCCUUCCCUGGGGAUUGCAGUCCUGCAUUUCCUGUUUUUCACACCUGAAAAGGGCUGCCUCGUCUGUUUUGUCCAUGUUAAU